GAUUACCUACGGGACGCAGCAGUAGGGAAUUUUCGUCAAUGGGCGCAAGCCUGAACGAGCAAUGCCGCGUGAACGAGGAAGGUCUUCGGAUCGUAAAGUUCUGUUGAAGGGGAAAAAGAGCGGAGAGAGGAAAUGGUCUCCGAUUGAUAUUACCCUUCGAGGAAGUCACGGCUAACUACGUGCCAGCAGCCGCGGUAAUACGUAGGCGGCGAGCGUUAUCCGGCAUGCUUGCGCGUACA
Molecule: ribosomal RNA, 239 nt
Filed under: uncultured bacterium
Lineage: Bacteria
Description: partial 16S ribosomal RNA
Rfam family: Bacterial small subunit ribosomal RNA
Source: RNAcentral